This 253-nucleotide ribosomal RNA is filed under the name uncultured bacterium. RNAcentral's name for it is "partial 16S ribosomal RNA". It matches the Rfam family "Bacterial small subunit ribosomal RNA", at positions 524 to 776 of the family's 1533-position model. The record is from RNAcentral.
UACGUAGGGGGCCAGCGUUGUCCGGAUUCAUUGGGCGUAAAGCGCGUGUAGGCGGCCGUACAGGUCCGGUGUGAAAACUCGAGGCUCAACCUCGAGAGGUCAUCGGAAACCGUACGGCUAGAGUCCGGAAGAGGAGAGUGGAAUUCCUGGUGUAGCGGUGAAAUUCGUAGAUAUUAGGAAGAACACCAGUGGCGAAGGCGGCUCACUGGCCCGGUACUGACGCUCAUGUGCGAAAGCGUGGGGAGCAAACAGG